GCCCAGGUAGCUCAGUUGGUUAGAGCAUUCGCCUGAAGAGCGAGGGGUCGGCAGUUCAAAUCUGCCCCUGGGCACCA
Molecule: transfer RNA, 77 nt
Filed under: Candidatus Yonathbacteria bacterium RIFCSPHIGHO2_01_FULL_51_10
Lineage: Bacteria; Candidatus Yonathiibacteriota
Description: tRNA-Phe
Rfam family: tRNA
About the family: Transfer RNA (tRNA) molecules are approximately 80 nucleotides in length. Their secondary structure includes four short double-helical elements and three loops (D, anti-codon, and T loops).
Source: RNAcentral